RNAcentral lists this transfer RNA (47 nucleotides) under Jacobaea erucifolia. Its description in RNAcentral is "partial tRNA-Phe". It matches the Rfam family "tRNA", at positions 1 to 46 of the family's 71-position model. From Rfam's summary of the family: Transfer RNA (tRNA) molecules are approximately 80 nucleotides in length. Their secondary structure includes four short double-helical elements and three loops (D, anti-codon, and T loops). RNAcentral also lists the same sequence under 3 other names. The record is from RNAcentral. Lineage: Eukaryota; Viridiplantae; Streptophyta; Magnoliopsida; Asterales; Asteraceae.
GUUGGGAUAGCUCAGUUGGUAGAGCAGAGGACUGAAAAUCCUCGUGU